RNAcentral lists this ribosomal RNA (490 nucleotides) under uncultured bacterium. RNAcentral describes it as "partial 16S ribosomal RNA". It matches the Rfam family "Bacterial small subunit ribosomal RNA", at positions 30 to 507 of the family's 1533-position model. The record is from RNAcentral.
AUUGAACGCUGGCGGCAGGCCUAACACAUGCAAGUCGAACGGUAACAGGAAGAAACUUGCUUCUUUGCUGACGAGUGGCGGACGGGUGAGUAAUGUCUGGGAAACUGCCUGAUGGAGGGGGAUAACUACUGGAAACGGUAGCUAAUACCGCAUAACGUCGCAAGACCAAAGAGGGGGACCUUCGGGCCUCUUGCCAUCGGAUGUGCCCAGAUGGGAUUAGCUUGUUGGUGGGGUAACGGCUCACCAAGGCGACGAUCCCUAGCUGGUCUGAGAGGAUGACCAGCCACACUGGAACUGAGACACGGUCCAGACUCCUACGGGAGGCAGCAGUGGGGAAUAUUGCACAAUGGGCGCAAGCCUGAUGCAGCCAUGCCGCGUGUAUGAAGAAGGCCUUCGGGUUGUAAAGUACUUUCAGCGGGGAGGAAGGGAGUAAAGUUAAUACCUUUGCUCAUUGACGUUACCCGCAGAAGAAGCACCGGCUAACUCCGUG